RNAcentral lists this ribosomal RNA (440 nucleotides) under uncultured bacterium. RNAcentral describes it as "partial 16S ribosomal RNA". It matches the Rfam family "Bacterial small subunit ribosomal RNA", at positions 338 to 795 of the family's 1533-position model. The record is from RNAcentral.
CCUACGGGUGGCAGCAGUGGGGAAUAUUGGACAAUGGGGGGAACCCUGAUCCAGCGACGCCGCGUGAGUGAAGAAGUAUUUCGGUAUGUAAAGCUCUAUCAGCAGGGAAGAAAAUGACGGUACCUGACUAAGAAGCCCCGGCUAACUACGUGCCAGCAGCCGCGGUAAUACGUAGGGGGCAAGCGUUAUCCGGAUUUACUGGGUGUAAAGGGAGCGUAGACGGCAGCACAAGUCUGGAGUGAAAUGCCGGGGCUUAACCCCGGAACUGCUUUGGAAACUGGGCAGCUAGAGUGCAGGAGAGGUAAGUGGAAUUCCUAGUGUAGCGGUGAAAUGCGUAGAUAUUAGGAGGAACACCAGUGGCGAAGGCGGCUUACUGGACUGUAACUGACGUUGAGGCUCGAAAGCGUGGGGAGCAAACAGGAUUAGAUACCCGAGUAGUC